This 353-nucleotide ribosomal RNA is filed under the name Hyperolius argus (argus reed frog). RNAcentral describes it as "partial 12S ribosomal RNA". It matches the Rfam family "Bacterial small subunit ribosomal RNA", at positions 866 to 1403 of the family's 1533-position model. The record is from RNAcentral. Lineage: Eukaryota; Metazoa; Chordata; Amphibia; Anura; Hyperoliidae.
AAAACGCCAAAGCAACUACGAGCGCAAGCUUAAAACUUAAAGGACUUGACGGUGUCCCAUCUACCUAGAGGAGCCUGUUCUAUAAUCGAUAAUCCUCGUUAUAUCUCACCUUUUUUAGCUAAUCAGUCUGUAUACUUCCGUCGUAAGCUUACCAUAUGAAUGUAUUAGUAAGUUAAAUAGUAAAAACGUCAGGUCAAAGUGCAGCCAACAAAAAGGGAAGAAAUGGGCUACAAUUUCUACUUAAGAACAUACGAAGUAACUGAAAAUACUUGAAGGCGGAUUUAGAAGUAAAAUGAAAAUAAAGUGUUCAUUUUAACAAUGCUCUGGGACGUGUACACACCGCCCGUCACCCU